UACAGAGGUCCCAAGCGUUGUUCGGAUUCAUUGGGCGUAAAGGGUGCGUAGGUGGCGCCGUAAGUCGGGUGUGAAAUUUCGGAGCUUAACUCCGAAACUGCAUUCGAUACUACGGUGCUUGAGGACUGGAGAGGAGACUGGAAUUCAUGGUGUAGCAGUGAAAUGCGUAGAGAUCAUGAGGAAGACCAGUGGCGAAGGCGGGUCUCUGGACAGUUCCUGACACUGAGGCACGAAGGCCAGGGGAGCAAACGGG
RNAcentral lists this ribosomal RNA (253 nucleotides) under uncultured bacterium. Its description in RNAcentral is "partial 16S ribosomal RNA". It matches the Rfam family "Bacterial small subunit ribosomal RNA", at positions 524 to 776 of the family's 1533-position model. The record is from RNAcentral.